Molecule: long non-coding RNA, 563 nt
Filed under: Pan troglodytes (chimpanzee)
Lineage: Eukaryota; Metazoa; Chordata; Mammalia; Primates; Hominidae
Description: lincRNA
Source: RNAcentral
AAUCAGCGAGACUCCGUGGGCGCAGGACCCUCCGAGCCAGGUGUGGGAUAUAGUCUCGUGGUGCGCCGUUUUUUAAGCCGGUCUGAAACGCGCAAUAUUCGGGUGGGAGUGACCCGAGUUUUCCAGGUGCGUCCGUCACCCCUUUCUUUGACUCGGAAAGGGAACUCCCUGACCCCUUGCGCUUCCCGAGUGAGGUAAUGUCUCGCCCUGCUUCCGCUCGCGCACGGUGCGCGCACCCGCUGACCUGCGCCCACUGUCUGGCACUCCCUAGUGAGAUGAACCCGGUACCUCAGAUGGAAAUGCAGAAAUCACCGUCUUCUGCGUCGCUCACGCUGGGAGCUGUAGACCGGAGCUGUUCCUAUUCGGCCAUCUUGGCUCCUUCCUCAUCCUUAUUCAAUUCUUGAACGGUUCCACACAAAAAUAACUGAAGAUGGGCCUCCAGUCUUACGACGCCACAAAGUGCCCUGACAUCACUGAACACGAAAACUCAUUGCAGAGUUUUAUUGCAUGAAAGAUGUUUGUGAUGUUUGCAAUUGGAUGACUCAAGUCUUUGUCAUGGAGAC